This is an RNA transcript of Phacochoerus africanus (Common warthog), 4207 nucleotides long. It is a transcript of the gene named centrosomal protein 89, with no coding region annotated. The record is from RefSeq and is a predicted model, not a curated record. The transcript is spliced from 20 exons. NCBI's taxonomy places the organism in Eukaryota, Metazoa, Chordata, Mammalia, Artiodactyla, Suidae.
UGGGGCGAGGCCAGCUGCAAGCUAAUAGGCUUUAGGGAGCAGGUCCUCGGCCCUGCGGUUUGCUUGGCAGUCCAGUCCCGGUCUGGCCGCCCCGCCACACAGCAAGGAUGCCCCUGGAGUUCCGGAGAGGCCGAAAGAGGCAGUUUGAACACAUCAUCCCUGGCCUUCUCCCUGCAGCCAGCAUCGCGCCAAAGGCAGCUGUGCCCCGCACACCUCCUCCACGCAGCCCCAAUCCCUCCCCAGAGAGACCAAGGUCCGCCCUGGCUGCGGCCAUUCUGGCAACAACGUUGACGGGCCGGACCGUUGCCAUUCCUCAGCCUCGCCGCAGAUCCCACUCCGAGAGUGACACGACCUACAAUGAAAAGGACAGUUUCAUCGAGCCCUAUGCCACCACCUCGGAGCUGAGGCCUCCACCGCAGUGGCAGAAUGAGACGGGAAGAUCUUUGCCGUCCUUUGAAAUGCUGGGCUACGAGGACAAAGAGGACACUGACACACACCUGUCAUCCAGCCACAAGGACGCCAGUGUUCCCAGAGAAGAGGAGGGUCUCAGCAGUGCCCUGUAUGCCCUGCCCCACAGAAAUCAGAUUCCAUCGUCAUAUGGGACGGACAGUGAAGAUGAGGCAAAUAUUUCUGAACAAGAUGGGUUUCCAGGAUCACCUCUUAUACCAGAGAGCACACGAGAAAAAGAUGGUAAACAUUCUCUUCUGAAUUUAAAGGAUGAAAAGCCACCGUUAUGUGAGAAACCUCCACCUUCUCCAGAUAUAACUGGUAGAACACGUCAAAGAUGUAUAGAAAGAACCAAAGAAAAAUUCGAGAAAUUAAAAGAAGAAAAUUUGCAUCUAAACAAUGCAAAUCAAACCCUUAGUCUUGAACUUAACUUAAUGAAGCAAGCAAUGAAAGAACUACAGUUAAAACUUAAAAGGAUGGAAAAAGAGAACAGAAAGCGGAGAGAGGUUGAGAAAGCAUCAUCUCAGGAAGUAGUCGCUGCCCCUGAAUUACAUUAUCUAAGAAAACAAGCUCAAGAACUGGUGGAUGAAAAUGAUGGGUUGAAAAUGACUGUCCAUUGUUUAAACGUAGAACUGAGUAGAUAUCAAACCAAAUUCAGGCAUUUAUCCAAGGAAGAGAGUUUAAAUAUUGAAGGCCUCCCCUCAAAGGGCCCUACACCACCCUGGUUGUUGGAUAUGAAGUACCUGUCCCCCUUGCUGCUGGCCUACGAAGACAGAAUGAAAGAGAAGGAUGAGCUCAAUGCCAGCCUUCAGGAGGAAAUGAGAACGUUUAAGAUGCGAGUGCAAGAAGUGAUAAAAGAAAAUGAAGAAUUGCACCAAGAGUUAAAUAAGAGUAACCCUGUCACCACUGAGGAUAGGCGUCAGCUGCAGACUCAAGCAGAACUGGUUUUAGAGGAAAACAAGUUGUUGAUAGAGCAGUUGGCGAUUCAGCAAAGAAAAGCCAGGGACACCCACCAGGAGCACGUCCAGGAAGUUUCUAAACUGACUAAGCAGUUAAUGCUUCUGGAGACUAAAGCACAGAGCCAAGAAAAGGAGCUAAAUGAAAAUAAGGAGCAACUGGAAAUUGUACGUGCCAAAUGCCAAGAACUAAAAACACACUUGGACAGCAAAGUGGCGAUGGAAGUUCACACUUCCAUUGUAAAUGAAUUGAAGAGCCAGUUGCAGAAGGAAGAAGAGAAAGAAAAUGCCGAGAUGGAAGAGUUAAUGGAAAAGUUGAUGGUCUUGCAAAUGCAGAAAAAGAGCCUGUUGAUAGAGAAGAACAAUCUGAUGGCUACAAAUAAGGCACUGGAAGCCGAACUUGAGAAAGCACAGAAAAUAAACAGGAGAUUUCAAAAGAAAAUCGAUGUCCUCAAAAAGCAGGUGGAAAAGGCCAUGAAGAAUGAAAUGUCUGCUCACCAGUACCUGGCAAAUCUUGUAGGCCUGGCAGAGAACGUAACCCAGGAACGUAACAGUCUUAGGUAUUUGGCGAAAUAUCUAGAAAGCAAGAAUUAUGGCAUUCUCAACAAAGUCAUAGAAGGCCACAUUCAUGUGGGAAUGUUGGAGGAAAAGUUCGAGGGGUACAGGAAGCAGGCAGCCCUGGAACUGGGUGACAUCAAUCACUGCCUGGCAGAGCAGCGGGAAGACUUCGCUAGCAAGACAGCUCAGUACCAGCAGGAGGUGAGGUACCUCCACCGGGUGCUGCAGGAGAAACAGGAUGUCCUGGAUGAGGCGCUGAAGCAGAAAAGAGAAGUGGAAGGCGAGCUCGAGAUUGUCUGGGAGUCCACCUCCAAGGAGAACCAAAGGAUCCGAGAGCUUCUCCAGGCUGUGCUGGAGAGGGCAGGCCCGGGGGACACCCCCAGAGCUUUGGAGGACCCCCGCAUGGACACCGACUUGCCAGGAGACAGGCUGGACAGCUGCAGCUUCAGCUACUGUGACAUGAGGCCACCCCCCACCGCCCACCAGGGUCUGCGGGAGCUCCUGGGCUAGAGCCCCCUCGGCGGAGGCACUGCCUUCGCGGGACAGGGCAGGGCAGGCCCACCGCCGCUGCAGCAUUUCUUCUCCUCAGGGCAAGGAAGGGAUAACCUAUUUCAAGGAGGACAUGGAACCCAGGUUUUACAUUUUGCUUUAUUUCUUAAACGUUCCCCUGAAGCACAUUUAGGCAGAGCACGUCCUCUGACCCCACUGCCACUGAGCGGGGCUCUGGGAGACCCGUUGCUCAUGCUGACGGGUGACCUGAUGAGCUGACCUGUCUCCGGACUCCUAGACCUGCACCAGGAAGCACCGGCGGAAACAGCAGACAGGAUGGAACACCCAGCCCGCAUGACUGAUGCGUGUGUUUAACCCAACAAGCCAUCCACGGAGGCAGCAGCCUUGAUUUCUGUGCAUUACGUCUAGGUGGUGUUUUAUUGUUUGGUAAAAAAACAGGUGCUGGUCCUCGUGCCCCAGUAAGUUGUAGAAAAUCUGUUCUGCCUCCACUCCCAGCCCUUGUCUGUCUGCCCACCUGGGAGGGAACUUCUGCGGCGAAGCCGCCCUCACCCCUCGCCCCCUCGAGAGCCUUGACCCUGAGCACCAAGGCAGGGUCCCUGCCCCCACCGCCACCCCCGAGAAGGGUGCCAGGGCCUUGGUCCUGCUCCACCCUGUGCCUCCUCCUCAGGUAGGUCACCCCCGCCUCGCAGGACCGUUCACGGGGACGUCCCACCUGCCUCGGGCUGCUUGUCCCCGGCCUGCUGGAAGAAGGCAGGGACAUCAGCUACCAAGGGCCCUAAACAGUGAUACGUAGGGUAGAAUUCUGCCGCAUCCUCAGACAAAACCCCUCAGAGCCACGACCUGUGUCCUUUCAGGUGUGCAGAGAGGCCUGGCAUUGGUCCCGGGUCCCAGGGAUGGAAAGACUCACCGGGACUUCAACCUCUGUGUGGUCUCCUAGGAGAUGACUUUGAUGUUAUUUCAGGGGAGCUUGGGCCACCUGCCUAACACCCUGCAGACAGGCUGGAAGGUGGCAGCAGCCCCGUGAGCCUCCUGCCUCCAGACCUGCGCACAGGGGGCAGCUUGUCCAUGGGUCGCUGCUGUUGCCACAUCACCUGGAGAACCACAUUUGUUAACCCUGCCUUUUUCUGGCCUUCAGAGAGAGUAUUUUAUUCCCUUGAGAAAUGAAUGUUUUUCCACUUCUGCUCUAUCACAUGUUCCCAACAUACUUUGCAAGUUCCGUGACCCCUGAGCCUCCUCAUGGCCUCCCACUUGGUGCUACAUGAAACAGGCCAGUGAGCUCCGCGUCCAGGUUGCAAAGGAGGGCAGAGCAGGCGAGGUAGUGAACGACAGUGGAGCUGAGAGGCACCAAGCCCAAGCCUGAGCCGGAACACCCUGCCUUGCAGAAUGGACAGGGUCCCAGGGGCUGGUGAAGGGGCUGUGUGAGCAGCAGUGGGGCUGUGGGCUAAAGGUUAGGAUGAGUAACAAGGCCUGACUGCUGGGAGGAGGCUCCCAUUCCUCUGCAUCCUGCAGGUCUCCAGUCUGAGCAGGAGCCGGUCCCGUUUUCUCUCAGUCCUGGUGAGUCUUGGUGCUGGUGCUAGAAAGGUCCUGAUCAGGAUGAAAGUAACCCAGGGCAAACAGGAACCCAUGUGAGCCCUGCCGCCUUUGGCAAGGUUUAAGAGCCACCCUGGGGGGAGUUCCUGUCGUGGCACAGUGGAAACAAAUCCAACUAGGAACCAUGAGGUUUCGGGUUCGAUCCC